This 361-nucleotide unclassified non-coding RNA is filed under the name Hevea brasiliensis (rubber tree). The record is from RNAcentral. Lineage: Eukaryota; Viridiplantae; Streptophyta; Magnoliopsida; Malpighiales; Euphorbiaceae.
UGAUCGGAAAACCGGUUUCCACUUUUCCGCAUCAUGAUCGUUCGUAAACCGUAAGCGUGUCUUUAUCCAAAGUCUCGGUAGCACGCGCGCGCCAGCGAGGCGACUGGGUGACCACCGACAACGGCUGCGUAUCGAGCGCCGGAAUACCAUCCAUGCCGAUAGCGCCCUGCCCCCGCAGCAGCCAGACCUCGUCGACUAGCCCCGCACUCAGGAAUGACGACGCCACGCGUGCGCCGCCCUCCACCAUCAGCCGGGUGAUGCCGCGCUCAGCCAGCGUGUUUAGAACCGAUUUCAGAUUUAGGCCGGGCGGCGAUCCAUCGCUCACCGGCACGCGCAUCACCUGCGCGCCCGCAGCGCCGAG